GGGAUCUGAGACAGAAGUGCAGAGAUCUGGGUGAGUUGGAGUCCCACUGGCUGUCAGGUUCAGCAGAAGCAGGGCCUGUUCCCUGCAACUCCUGCUCAGAAGGUUGUAGCAGGACCCUCAUAGCUGCCAGGUCUGCAGAGGCAGGAGAGCCUGGAAAGCUGAUCACAGAUGCCCCUGCUCUGAAUGGAGUUCCUCCGGACCAGGGUUCCCAGGGAGGGGUGUGGCACCUUGGAGAGGGUCAGCCCUGUGGCCCUGCUGGCUGCCCUCCAGGCCAAUGCCCUUUCUUGGCAUCCCCUGUCACUGCUUCUCCGUGUGCAGAAAUCACCAUGGACAACAGCCUCCUAGCCAUAGUCGUGGCCACCGCCUCAUCCACAGUGUUCAUCAUGGCCAUCCUGCUGCUGCUACUGCACCGGCAUGAGCCCCAGUGCUGCCAGGUCCUCUGCACCUGCCACUUCUUCCGGAGUCCCAGCCAACACGACUGCCCACCUCCCUACUUCAGCACCAUGGGACACCACACUGAGGUCCAGCCAGUGGAAAGGAGCCAAGAGUUCCAGGGGAUACAGGUGAGGGAGGAGCCCCGGGCCUGUCACCCAGGACGGGGGAAGUGCGUGCUGGGGUUCUGAAGCCAGGCAAG
RNAcentral lists this long non-coding RNA (634 nucleotides) under Aotus nancymaae (Ma's night monkey). RNAcentral's name for it is "lncRNA (ENSANAG00000039310.1)". The record is from RNAcentral. Lineage: Eukaryota; Metazoa; Chordata; Mammalia; Primates; Aotidae.